RNAcentral lists this ribosomal RNA (590 nucleotides) under Enterobacter sp. RNAcentral describes it as "bacterial SSU rRNA". It matches the Rfam family "Bacterial small subunit ribosomal RNA", at positions 39 to 619 of the family's 1533-position model. The record is from RNAcentral. Lineage: Bacteria; Pseudomonadati; Pseudomonadota; Gammaproteobacteria; Enterobacterales; Enterobacteriaceae.
GGGGGGGGCGGCCUACCAUGCAAGUCGAACGGUAGCACAGAGAGCUUGCUCUCGGGUGACGAGUGGCGGACGGGUGAGUAAUGUCUGGGAAACUGCCUGAUGGAGGGGGAUAACUACUGGAAACGGUAGCUAAUACCGCAUAACGUCGCAAGACCAAAGAGGGGGACCUUCGGGCCUCUUGCCAUCAGAUGUGCCCAGAUGGGAUUAGCUAGUAGGUGGGGUAACGGCUCACCUAGGCGACGAUCCCUAGCUGGUCUGAGAGGAUGACCAGCCACACUGGAACUGAGACACGGUCCAGACUCCUACGGGAGGCAGCAGUGGGGAAUAUUGCACAAUGGGCGCAAGCCUGAUGCAGCCAUGCCGCGUGUAUGAAGAAGGCCUUCGGGUUGUAAAGUACUUUCAGCGGGGAGGAAGGUGUUGUGGUUAAUAACCACAGCAAUUGACGUUACCCGCAGAAGAAGCACCGGCUAACUCCGUGCCAGCAGCCGCGGUAAUACGGAGGGUGCAAGCGUUAAUCGGAAUUACUGGGCGUAAAGCGCACGCAGGCGGUCUGUCAAGUCGGAUGUGAAAUCCCCGGGCUCAACCUGGGA